RNAcentral lists this ribosomal RNA (253 nucleotides) under uncultured bacterium. RNAcentral's name for it is "partial 16S ribosomal RNA". It matches the Rfam family "Bacterial small subunit ribosomal RNA", at positions 524 to 776 of the family's 1533-position model. The record is from RNAcentral.
UACGUAGGUGGCAAGCGUUGUCCGGAAUUAUUGGGCGUAAAGCGCGCGCAGGCGGUCCUUUAAGUCUGAUGUGAAAGCCCACGGCUCAACCGUGGAGGGUCAUUGGAAACUGGGGGACUUGAGUGCAGGAGAGAAGAGUGGAAUUCCACGUGUAGCGGUGAAAUGCGUAGAGAUCCGGAGGAACACCAGAGGCGAAGGCGGCCUACUGGGCCAGUACUGACGCUGAGCCGCGAAAGCCAGGGGAGCGAACGGG